GAAAGAAACCUACCAGAUGGUCCGCCCAAGGCGCUGGGCCGUCAUUUCAGCGAUAACCUUUGCGCUGUGCUGGCUGUUGCCGGUCUGCAGCGCGAAAACUGCGUUGCAGGCCGGGUAUCAAGGAUUGGCAUUCUGCCGAGUGGGCUGAUUGACUCGCGAUAGAUACGGCGCAAUUUGCGGAAUACCCGGAGCAGUCUGCAGUAAGAGCACCGGAUACUGAGGCGCCUCAUUCAUCUGCACUCGGUGCAGAU
Molecule: small RNA, 251 nt
Filed under: Pseudomonas aeruginosa PAK
Lineage: Bacteria; Pseudomonadati; Pseudomonadota; Gammaproteobacteria; Pseudomonadales; Pseudomonadaceae
Description: putative sRNA
Source: RNAcentral